CAACUUUCCAAAAUUCAGACUCUC
This 24-nucleotide non-coding RNA is filed under the name Arabidopsis thaliana (thale cress). The record is from RNAcentral. Lineage: Eukaryota; Viridiplantae; Streptophyta; Magnoliopsida; Brassicales; Brassicaceae.